UACAGAGGGGGCAAGCGUUGUUCGGAAUUACUGGGCGUAAAGGGCGCGUAGGCGGCCUGCUAAGUCGAACGUGAAAUCCCUGGGCUCAACCCAGGAACUGCGUCCGAUACUGGUUGGCUUGAAUCCGGGGAGGGAUGUGGAAUUCCAGGUGUAGCGGUGAAAUGCGUAGAUAUCUGGAGGAACACCGGUGGCGAAGGCGACAUCCUGGACCGGUAUUGACGCUGAGGCGCGAAAGCCAGGGGAGCAAACGGG
RNAcentral lists this ribosomal RNA (252 nucleotides) under uncultured bacterium. RNAcentral describes it as "partial 16S ribosomal RNA". It matches the Rfam family "Bacterial small subunit ribosomal RNA", at positions 524 to 776 of the family's 1533-position model. The record is from RNAcentral.